CAACCCUCGACGUCCCCUCGGGGAUGUCGGCGUUGGGGACCGGCAGCACACCGCCGCCCCCGAAAUGAAGUGGCGGCCCGUCCGCGGCGACCUCUGCGUAGUAAUCCAACUCGCACCGGGACCCCGACGCGGCCACGCCGUAAAACACCCAACUCUGAA
RNAcentral lists this unclassified non-coding RNA (159 nucleotides) under uncultured Cordyceps. RNAcentral describes it as "sequence contains ITS2". Lineage: Eukaryota; Fungi; Ascomycota; Sordariomycetes; Hypocreales; Cordycipitaceae. The record is from RNAcentral.